Molecule: ribosomal RNA, 253 nt
Filed under: uncultured bacterium
Lineage: Bacteria
Description: partial 16S ribosomal RNA
Rfam family: Bacterial small subunit ribosomal RNA
Source: RNAcentral
UACGAAGGGUGCAACCGUUGCUCGGAAUUAUUGGGCGUAAAGCGCACGUAGGCGGCUUAGCAAGUCGGAAGUGAAAUCCCUCGGCUCAACCAAGGAAGUGCUUUCGAAACUGCUGAGCUUGAGUACUAAAGAGGAUCGCGGAAUUCCCGGUGUAGAGGUGAAAUUCGUAGAUAUCGGGAGGAACACCAGUGGCGAAGGCGGCGAUCUGGGUAGAUACUGACGCUGAGGUGCGAAAGCGUGGGGAGCAAACAGG